RNAcentral lists this small RNA (161 nucleotides) under Paenibacillaceae bacterium GAS479. RNAcentral's name for it is "c-di-AMP riboswitch aptamer (ydaO/yuaA leader)". It matches the Rfam family "c-di-AMP riboswitch aptamer (ydaO/yuaA leader)". From Rfam's summary of the family: This family represents a conserved RNA structure found upstream of the ydaO and yuaA genes in Bacillus subtilis and related genes in other bacteria. The ydaO/yuaA element is thought to act as a genetic "off" switch for the ydaO and yuaA genes in its native state. RNAcentral also lists the same sequence under 1 other name. Lineage: Bacteria; Bacillati; Bacillota; Bacilli; Caryophanales; Paenibacillaceae. The record is from Rfam by way of RNAcentral.
UAAUGCCGAAUGCCGAAUUCCAUCGAACAUGGAAACGGGGGAACCAUUUCUGGGUGAAUUGAUUUUGGGCAUCAUGCCGCAGACAGCGGAUGCCGGAUAAAUCAUAGGGAACCUUCAACCGAACCCCACAGCUAACCUCGUAGGCUCUGGAAGGAGCACAU